AUGACACCAUCUAGAUGAGGAGGCUGCAGAGUAGUGUUGUGAACAGCUUCAGCGCAGCUGCAGCAGGAUGUUUCUGACACUUUUCUGGCUCUUCUUGGCCUUUUGCUGUACUCCUUCACUUUCAGCCAAAACAGAAUUGCCUACACUCCUCCAGAGCCCGGCGGCCAUCAUCCUGUCUAAGCUCAACUCCACGGCCGAGCUGCUCUGCUCCACCACACUCAAACCUUCUGGGCUGUAUCUGAAACAGCGCUACUCCAAGCCACGAGAGCUGCUGUAUCUAAGUAUACCUGACUAUACUAAGACCUUCAGCUUCGGUUUUGAACAUCGUCUGUCAGUCAGUGGCAAGUGCUGUGACUUCACCCUGAGUCUAUCUCAGCUGCAAAUUGAGGACACAGAUGGGUACUACUGCGAAUGGGUGUUUAUUGGGGGUACAGGCGUACAAAUCAGCUACGGGCAAGCCAGUGAGACAGUCAUCAUCGUGAGAGAUGGAGACCCAGAAGAGGAAUGCAAUAAACGGCGUAUGGUUCAUCACCUUCUCUUCGUGAUCAGCGUGCUCAUUACUGUCACAAUGUUCAUUAUUUGCAUUGGUCUGCUAAUAUGGAAGUUCCGGCAGUCUUCUCAGCACUAUUCACCUUAUAAGGUCCCUCACAGGCGUCAUCAGCCCCAGUGCCCGCAUCGCAGAAGAUAACAGUAUUAUUAGUUUGCCUUCUAUGGGCUUUUUGUGUGUGUGUGUGUGUGUGUGUGUGUGUUUUCCUUGCACUAGCUUGUGUUUUCUAGGCCUCAAACCUUCCCCCAUUAAAAAGGUGACAAAACAUCCUGCUUUUUUUCAUCUGUGCUGCUGUUUUUUUUCCAUUCUGCUGACAAUUACAUCCUGUUCUUUCAUCUUGGUGAGACUUCAAUCACUUACAUGUCUGUACUUUAUCGAUUUCCACAGUAAAUGACCUGGUAAACUUUGAAGAUGACAACUCAAGAUACAGAAAGACAAAUUACAUAGACGAAAGAAAGAUCUACAUUUUGACUGUCAUUUUUCUUUUACACUGUAUGAUUUUUUUUUGUAUGAUGAACCAAUAGAAAUAGUCCACAAUUACAUAGAAUAAAAUAUUUUUACAUUAACUUACAUUAAAGAUACAUUAUUAUUAUUAUUAUUAUUAUUAUUUUAUUCUUUACUCUUCUACAGUUAUGAGGUUCUGUCCCAACAGUGAUAAUAUUAAUGUUAAGAUUAAUGUUAAUAUAUAAAUGCAUCUGCAAAAUGACCUGUUAUGUGUUGUGAUAUCAUAUUAUCAUAGUUCAAUGAGAAUGCUUUGGUUUAGUACCUUUGUUCUCAUUCAUGUUGGUGUUUAUCUGUAGAAAUAACAGGUUGUUUUUCUCAGAAUUUGUUUCUUUUUUUCCUCAGACUUCAUCACAUGUAUGUUACAUUAUUAAGUGACAAUUAGGGAUGUUUAGAGAACCUUCAGAGUUUAAAAACAACUGAAACAUUCAAGAACAAUGUUCCAUUGAUCUUUCUUCUUUCUUGUAUUUGUAAUCUUGUAACUUAAUUCAUUAACUUGCAAUACGUUAUCCAUUAAUAGGCAUGACUGAUCGAUUGAUUGAUCUGUCUUAAACUGAGAAUAUGUAUGAUCAGAGUAAUAUCCACUAUCUGCCAUACUGAGCUGUACUUUCUCAAGCCUUUACCUCUUCUGAAAGUGUACUUCCUGUCUGGCAAACCGUUUUCACUGAUGCUCUGUGUUGCCUUUGAGUUUUUUCCCCGUCUUUCUCAAAUGGCUAGAUCUUUGGUAGAUGUCACCUCUCACUACUUGCAUGUUCUUCUCUCUUUUCCUAUCGUUCCCUUUUGUGCAUAUGACACAAUGGCUGGCUGAACUGUUUUUCUCAAAUUGGCGAAAGUCAUGGAUGCCUGUCUUUGACUAGCUUCAGUGGGCCUUAAGCCUUAAAGAGAGUGAAAUUAAUCUUAUAACUAUAUUUGCUGUAAACCUGCUCAAAAAAUUAACAAUAUCAUUCUUUAUAUACAAUUUUACUCAACAAUACUCAACAGUUUUAGAGUUUUUAUUUGAAAAUGGCUCUUUACAACAGGAAUCCACUUACACAUGACUCCUGUGUGUAGGACUGGCUAAAUGACAACAAGAGUAACAAUGCUUCUAAACCUAUCACACAGUGGGCUCUUAGCAGACUCUCGCUCAGUAGCCUCUGGGACAAAACAAAUGAAGGCAUCCUUGGACACCUUUCAUAGGCCUGGCACUCCCAAUGAUGCAAUUAGAGCACAAAGUCAUUUCAUACACAAAUGAGUGAAUUCUGAAUUUUUAAGAUAUAUAUUACUCAGAACAGCAUACAACUCAAAAUAUUAAUUUUGUUUAAUUGUAAAUAUCACUUUCAUUGCAAAGUGAACUGCCCAUGUCUGUGGACACCAGCACAAUUGUUUUACAGUGGGUUUCUAAGCAUCCUGUCCCACUCCAUGUAUAUAAACAUAUAUAUACAUACAAACCUCAUUUCCAAAAUAGAGGAGAUGUUGUCAUGUUGAAAUAACAUGGAUGUCCCUGAAAAAGAUGUCGUCUAGAAGGCAGCAUGUAAUCACUUUCAAAGCAAAACUUUAUGUCUCCGUUUUUGAGAUUUUCUUUUUUUGGUAUUUUUUAUUUGAAAAUGCCAGCUUUGCCCUUUACAAUGGGUUUCAUGAUAAUUAGACCAAAAGAAAUGUGCCAAAAUGACGAUGAAAAAAUGAAAAAGUUACCAUUGUGGAGAUACAAAGUUUUAUUGUGGCAACUUUAUGUCACUACAAAAUGUGUUUCUUAGCAUUAAAGGUGCCUUCAUAGAUGGGUAGUUACCCAUGCCAUGAGCCCUGUUACACCCUCACACUGCAACAGAUGCUAGAGUUUUAACUGGGUGGUCUUUUUCUUCUUUUGCCUGGAAAACAUGUUAUUUCCA
This is a non-coding RNA of Colossoma macropomum (tambaqui), 2913 nucleotides long. The record is from the annotation of a RefSeq genome assembly. Lineage: Eukaryota; Metazoa; Chordata; Actinopteri; Characiformes; Serrasalmidae.